UUUGGUUAUAACUAAAUUAGAUUAGAGCGCAAUGUAACUAAAACAUGCAGCAUGCAUUAUUCAUCAAGUUCCUGCUGCGAUAUGUGAUUUUGCUAUAUGGGCAGUAUGCCCAACUUGGUAUUUGGUGCUUAAAUACCUUGGCCACCCAGUAUCCAGUUCUCUUAUCUUCUCACGGAAAACAAGUCUCUUUUUUUUUUUUCAAUUUUCUUUUUAAUAUUUUUUCCCUUUUAUUUUGUCCAUAUGUAUUGUCUAGCUUUACAUAACUUUCAGCAGUGGUGGGGUUAUAGCUACUCGAAAAUUGAACACUUAGUGUUUGUAAAAAUGCCCGACUGAGUUUUUGAUUUUUAUUGUAUACUAAUCACUCAAUUUUACAUUUGAAUGAAACCCAUUUUGGUUUAUAGUUGAAAGCCAUUAUUUGGAGCAAGUCUUUUGCUAAUUUCCAAAGUUCAUGAUUCAUGAAACUCUGGUGAUUACAUAUAUCAUCAAAGAAAUGAAAAGGCUUUUAUAUGCCAUCAAUAAAAGAUGUGGGAUUUAUUAGUUGGAAGAGGACACUUUUUGUUUCAUGUUUAUUUGAAUUUUUGCUACACGGGUUUGAAAAUGUUGCAGCUAACUAGUUCUGAAUACCAAUCAUACUAGUGGAUGUGCCGAAGAACAUUGAUGUUGUGCAAAAUGUACAUGAAAUUCCCUCAUUUUCUGAUACUAAGGUUUUAAGAUAGUCUAUUUGGUUUAUAAAUGAAAACUAGAUUUUUGUUUGCACUUUGCACCUUUGUGACGAGUCAUGAAGCUGUGGUGAUUAUAUAGAUCAUCAAAGCAAUGCAGAUGCCUUUUGUAUUUCCAUGUCUAUACUAAAUUCUUGAUCAAUCAAAAUUAUGGGGAAUCAUGAGUUGAAGGAGAAGUUGAUGCAUUUUGUUUUGUGGUUGUUUGAUUUCUUUUGCUUCGUGGGUUUGAAAAAUGUUGCAGCUUAUCUAGUACUGAUCAAAUUAAUGGGGAAUCAUGAGUUGAAGGAGAAGUUGAUGCAUUUUGUUUUGUGGUUGUUUGAUUUCUUUUGCUUCAUGGGUUUGAAAAAUGUUGCAGCUUAUCUAGUACUGAUCAAAUUACUGGAUGUACUGUGGUCUAGUGAAUUUAAAUUGAAUGUAUGCAAUGCACAUAACUUAAAACCUCAAUAUUGUACCUGGUGCAACAUUUGUCUUAAAAUGAUAAUCGUAUUGAAGUUGGUUCUUAACAAGGAUAUUUGAUAGUUUCUCUAAGUUUUGGUGGACUUCGAGCUGUUCAUCUCGUAUCAAUUGUCUCUAAAGCAUGCACUUAAUUGUUCUCAAGAUAAUCCCCUCAAUUGAAAAUUCAAUAUGGAGAGGUGCACAAUGCAUUAUAAGGUAUGUAACCUACAGAGUUCUGGUCUUCAGAAUUUGUAUCUUGGUAAAGAAUGGAAGAUUAUCAUUUUUUUGGGAUGAUAUAUUUGGAAGUCUGCUAAUCGUUUUGUCCAUAUAUGUCUGCAGCUGCACAGCUACGUUAUGGAGCGAUUCUCCAUGCUGGAGAUUUCAGUUCCAGAGAUGAUCAUCUUUAAUUAGAAUGGUGCAAGGUUCUUCAAUGCACGCAUUUUGAG
This 1600-nucleotide long non-coding RNA is filed under the name Panax ginseng (ginseng). Its description in RNAcentral is "long non-coding RNA (PGIN_LNC012376)". Lineage: Eukaryota; Viridiplantae; Streptophyta; Magnoliopsida; Apiales; Araliaceae. The record is from RNAcentral.